UACGUAGGGCGCAAGCGUUGUCCGGAAUUAUUGGGCGUAAAGAGCUCGUAGGCGGCUUGUCACGUCGGGUGUGAAAGCCCGGGGCUUAACCCCGGGUCUGCAUUCGAUACGGGCAGGCUAGAGUGUGGUAGGGGAGAUCGGAAUUCCUGGUGUAGCGGUGAAAUGCGCAGAUAUCAGGAGGAACACCGGUGGCGAAGGCGGAUCUCUGGGCCAUUACUGACGCUGAGGAGCGAAAGCGUGGGGAGCGAACAGGAUUAGAUACCCCCGUAGUCC
Molecule: ribosomal RNA, 273 nt
Filed under: uncultured bacterium
Lineage: Bacteria
Description: partial 16S ribosomal RNA
Rfam family: Bacterial small subunit ribosomal RNA
Source: RNAcentral